GGGAGGAAGCUUGCUUUCUCCUGCCGGCGACCGGCACACGGGUGAGUAACACGUAUGCAACCUGGCCGUCACAGGUGGAUAACCGGAAGAAAUUCCGACUAAUACAGCAUAACACUCCUGAGGGACAUCCUUCGGGAGUCAAAGGAGGUAACUCCGGUGACGGAUGGGCAUGCGGCGCAUUAGGUAGUUGGUAGGGUAACGGCCUACCAAGCCGACGAUGCGUAGGGGUUCUGAGAGGAAGGUCCCCCACAUUGGAACUGAGACACGGUCCAAACUCCUACGGGAGGCAGCAGUGAGGAAUAUUGGUCAAUGGCCGGAAGGCUGAACCAGCCAAGUCGCGUGAGGGAAUAAGGCCCUAUGGGUCGUAAACCUCUUUUGUCAGGGAGCAAAGGCGUCCACGUGUGGACGAGAGGAGAGUACCUGAAGAAAAAGCAUCGGCUAACUCCGUGCCAGCAGCCGCGGUAAUACGGAGGAUGCGAGCGUUAUCCGGAUUUAUUGGGUUUAAAGGGUGCGUAGGCGGAGUGUCAAGUCAGCGGUAAAAUUUCGGGGCUCAACCCCGUCGUGCCGUUGAAACUGACGCCCUUGAGUGAGUGAGAAGUAAGCGGAAUGCGUGGUGUAGCGGUGAAAUGCAUAGAUAUCACGCAGAACGCCGAUUGCGAAGGCAGCUUACCGGCGCUCAACUGACGCUGAGGCACGAAAGUGCGGGUAUCGAACAGGAUU
This 720-nucleotide ribosomal RNA is filed under the name uncultured bacterium. Its description in RNAcentral is "bacterial SSU rRNA". It matches the Rfam family "Bacterial small subunit ribosomal RNA", at positions 67 to 779 of the family's 1533-position model. The record is from RNAcentral.